AUACGGAGGAUCCGAGCGUUAUCCGGAUUUAUUGGGUUUAAAGGGUGCGCAGGCGGCCAUUUAAGUCAGCGGUUAAAUCGUGGGGCUCAACCCCAUUCUGCCGUUGAUACUGGGUGGCUUGAUUGCGGUCGAGGUUGGCGGAAUUCGUUGUGUAGCGGUGAAAUGCAUAGAUAUGACGAAGAACACCGAUUGCGUAGGCAGCUGACCAGACCGCAAAUGACGCUCAUGCACGAAAGUGCGGGGAUCGAACAGGAUUAGAUACCCUGGUAGUCCGCACAGUAAACGAUGAAUACUUGUUUUCGGCGAUAUAAUGUCGGAGGCAAAGCGAAAGCGAUAAGUAUUCCACCUGGGGAGUACGCCGGCAACGGUGAAACUCAAAGGAAUUGACGGGU
This 392-nucleotide ribosomal RNA is filed under the name uncultured bacterium. RNAcentral's name for it is "partial 16S ribosomal RNA". It matches the Rfam family "Bacterial small subunit ribosomal RNA", at positions 523 to 918 of the family's 1533-position model. The record is from RNAcentral.